Molecule: ribosomal RNA, 274 nt
Filed under: uncultured bacterium
Lineage: Bacteria
Description: partial 16S ribosomal RNA
Rfam family: Bacterial small subunit ribosomal RNA
Source: RNAcentral
CUACGGAGGGUCCGAGCGUUAUCCGGAAUCAUUGGGUUUAAAGGGUCCGUAGGCGGGAAUCUAAGUCAGUGGUGAAAUCUUGCAGCUCAACUGUAAAAUUGCCAUUGAUACUGGAUUUCUUGAAUUAGUGUGAAGUGGUUAGAAUGUGUAGUGUAGCGGUGAGAUGCAUAGAUAUUACACAGAAUACCAAUUGCGAAGGCAGAUCACUAACACUAUAUUGACGCUAAGGGACGAAAGCGUGGGGAGCGAACAGGAUUAGAAACCCCGGUAGUCC